Molecule: ribosomal RNA, 459 nt
Filed under: uncultured bacterium
Lineage: Bacteria
Description: partial 16S ribosomal RNA
Rfam family: Bacterial small subunit ribosomal RNA
Source: RNAcentral
CCUACGGGUGGCAGCAGUGAGGAAUAUUGGUCAAUGGUCGGGAGACUGAACCAGCCAAGCCGCGUGAGGGAUGAUGGUACAGAGUAUUGUAAACCUCUUUUGUCAGGGAACAAAGGCGGGGCCGUGUCCCCGGAUGAGUGUACCUGAAGAAAAAGCAUCGGCAAACUCCGUGCCAGCAGCCGCGGUAAUACGGAGGAUGCGAGGGUUAUCGGGAUUUUGGGGGUUAAAGGGGUGCGCAGGCGGAGGGUAAAGUAAGCGGUAAAAGCCCGGGGCUAAACCCCGGCCCGCCGUUGAAACUGGCAGUCUGGAGUGGGAGAGAGGUAGGAGGAAUGCGUGGUGUAGCGGUGAAAUGCAUAGAUAUCGCGCAGAACUCCGAUUGCGAAGGCAGCUUGCGGGCUCCAGACUGACGCUGAGGCACGAAAGCGUGGGUAUCGAACAGGAUUAGAUACCCUUGUAGUC